UCGGAUUGCAGCCUGCAACUCGGCUGCAUGAAGCUGGAAUCGCUAGUAAUCGCGGAUCAGAAUGCCGCGGUGAAUACGUUCCCGGGUCUUGUACACACCGCCCGUCACACCAUGGGAGCCGGGAAUGCCCGAAGUCAGUGGCCCAACCGCAGGGAGGGAGCUGCCGAAGGCAGGCCUGGUGACUGGGGUGAAGUCGUAACAAGGUACC
RNAcentral lists this ribosomal RNA (208 nucleotides) under uncultured bacterium. RNAcentral's name for it is "partial 16S ribosomal RNA". It matches the Rfam family "Bacterial small subunit ribosomal RNA", at positions 1293 to 1500 of the family's 1533-position model. The record is from RNAcentral.